GAUGUCUUGAAUAAGCGAAAUAUU
Molecule: non-coding RNA, 24 nt
Filed under: Arabidopsis thaliana (thale cress)
Lineage: Eukaryota; Viridiplantae; Streptophyta; Magnoliopsida; Brassicales; Brassicaceae
Source: RNAcentral